This 376-nucleotide ribosomal RNA is filed under the name uncultured bacterium. RNAcentral's name for it is "bacterial SSU rRNA". It matches the Rfam family "Bacterial small subunit ribosomal RNA", at positions 29 to 388 of the family's 1533-position model. The record is from RNAcentral.
AAUCAACGCUGGCGGCGUGCCUAACACAUGCAAGUCGAACGCGAAAACCCCGCAAGGGGUUAGUAGAGUGGCAAACGGGUGAGUAACGCGUGGGUGACCUACCUCAGAGUGGGGAGUAACCUUCCGAAAGGAGGGCGUAAUACCGCAUGACAUACCGUGGUUGGAUACACGGAGUAUCAAAGCCGGGAUCGCAAGACCUGGCGCUUGGAGGAGGGGCCCGCGUCCGAUUAGCUAGUUGGUGAGGUCACGGCUCACCAAGGCGACGAUCGGUAUCCGGCCUGAGAGGGCGGACGGACACACUGGGACUGAGACACGGCCCAGACUCCUACGGGAGGCAGCAGGUGGGGAAUUGUUCGCAAUGGGCGCAAGCCUGACG